CAGCUACCGAAGGGGGUGAUUUGCUUACCUGAGCCUCAGAGUGUGCUUGUGCUGCCAUAGUGCGGGCCUGUUGUCAGGUGACUACCUGGAUUGGCUUCCUGGAUGGUCGGUUGUGGUAUGAAGGCAGAAGUUAGCUUGCCCUGGUCAUUGCCAAGUAACACAUCAGCAGGCAAGUUUUGCAUCAGCCCCACCUUAAAGUCCCCGGAUCCCGCACCCCAAUUCAA
This is a non-coding RNA of Pelobates cultripes (western spadefoot toad), 224 nucleotides long. NCBI's taxonomy places the organism in Eukaryota, Metazoa, Chordata, Amphibia, Anura, Pelobatidae. The record is from the annotation of a GenBank genome assembly.